Molecule: transfer RNA, 69 nt
Filed under: Umbraculum mediterraneum
Lineage: Eukaryota; Metazoa; Mollusca; Gastropoda; Umbraculida; Umbraculidae
Description: tRNA-Val
Source: RNAcentral
AAAAACAAAGUAUUUUCAGUACAUCUCAAUUACAAUGAGAAGGUCCAAAGACAUAUUGUGGUGUUUUUU